Molecule: ribosomal RNA, 746 nt
Filed under: Fusarium cf. cerealis 63/HC3
Lineage: Eukaryota; Fungi; Ascomycota; Sordariomycetes; Hypocreales; Nectriaceae
Description: SSU rRNA
Rfam family: Eukaryotic small subunit ribosomal RNA
Source: RNAcentral
CUGGUGAUUCAUGAUAACUCCUCGAAUCGCAUGGCCUUGCGCCGGCGAUGGUUCAUUCAAAUUUCUUCCCUAUCAACUUUCGAUGUUUGGGUAUUGGCCAAACAUGGUUGCAACGGGUAACGGAGGGUUAGGGCUCGACCCCGGAGAAGGAGCCUGAGAAACGGCUACUACAUCCAAGGAAGGCAGCAGGCGCGCAAAUUACCCAAUCCCGACACGGGGAGGUAGUGACAAUAAAUACUGAUACAGGGCUCUUUUGGGUCUUGUAAUUGGAAUGAGUACAAUUUAAAUCCCUUAACGAGGAACAAUUGGAGGGCAAGUCUGGUGCCAGCAGCCGCGGUAAUUCCAGCUCCAAUAGCGUAUAUUAAAGUUGUUGUGGUUAAAAAGCUCGUAGUUGAACCUUGGGCCUGGCUGGCCGGUCCGCCUCACCGCGUGUACUGGUCCGGCCGGGCCUUUCCCUCUGUGGAACCCCAUGCCCUUCACUGGGCGUGGCGGGGAAACAGGACUUUUACUGUGAAAAAAUUAGAGUGCUCCAGGCAGGCCUAUGCUCGAAUACAUUAGCAUGGAAUAAUAGAAUAGGACGUGUGGUUCUAUUUUGUUGGUUUCUAGGACCGCCGUAAUGAUUAAUAGGGACAGUCGGGGGCAUCAGUAUUCAAUUGUCAGANGUGAAAUUCUUGGAUUUAUUGAAGACUAACUACUGCGAAAGCAUUUGCCAAGGAUGNUUUUAUUAAUCANGAACCAAAGUUANG